UCUAUCACGAGCAGCUAAUGUCACUAUAGAUAACUUUCAUCAAUAUUCAGAGAAAGUUCUGGGCUUUAGCACUAUUUAAAGGUCAUUAUGGCCUCCAACAUAAGUUCUUUUAUUUUGAAGAAAUUUCUCAUCUAAGCUCUACCACAGUAUGCAAGUCUGCAUCAUGCACCUCAAGAUGAUUUUGGUGGCAGCAAUUCCACCAGCUGGAAUGACUGGGUAACUCUUCCUCAACAGCAGGAUACGUUACCCACAAGUUCCUUCUGAACUUUUUUUUUUUCUUUUCUUUUCUGGGAAGAAAAAGGAAUUGGAUAUUCUCCAACAACUGUCAUUUGCAAACAGCUGUUUACAUCCCAAAGCCCUCGUAGUAGAAUCAAUAUGUGAAAAGGGAAAUGGAUUUUGGAAAGCAGUCCAUGAACUCUGUGCUACAGCCAACUAUUGCUGUGAAAAGUAACCAGUAAUGCUGAAGCCUGCUGCAUUCAGCUGUGUCUGAGGGUCCAACAGAAAUAUAAAUCACUUAAUGGAUUAAGAGGAUCAUUUUUCCUUCACCUCAUAAGCUUUGCAGAGUGUGUCUUUUUUCUCUGUUAGCACAGUGCCCAGUGGAGACUGGGGCCUCUGUGUGUUACUUUAACAAAUAUUUAUUUGCUCAUUUGGAGGCGUACAUAAGACGUAAUACCUAAGAGACAUGACUGAGAAACAGGGAAGAGAUGCUACAAAAAUGAAACAAUUUUUUUUUAAGGAGUGGUAACUUUCUAGGCCUUUUGGACACUCACCUCUACAGCAAGCAAGCCAGACUGCCAAGAUGCUUGUUAGUAAGACAACUGCUCACAGCUGGACCUUGCAGUACAAACUGAGAAGGCAGCACUGGACCAGACCUCCACUUCUCCUGAUGGCUUAUUCAGUUCUUUUCACUGCUAAGGCUCAGGAAGGAACGUCUUGUUAUCAGCAUCUUUCUCAGACCAGAACUGGAAUUUUUGCAGAAACAUCAGUAAACAAGCUUUGCUGACCACAUCUGUGUUUCUGUGAACCAGCAGGCUCUGGAAGAGCUUAAGCAGAAAGCUGUGCAUCUCCUGCCUGCUUCCCCUCACCAUGACUGCCCUGCAUGCAGCAGAGGGCUGCUGCAGCCUGCCUGUCUGGAUGGGCUGGGCAGCAUGUCACCCACCAGGCAGGCUUACUAUUUGCCUGGAAAAAUCAUCCCACACUGAGGGCAGCCUCAGGACCACUCCUGGCAGCCAUUAGUUCUCACGGUGACUUGUGCUCUGCUAAAUAAAUGGAGACUUUUGCACGGAGUAGUCCUCCUGAAGACAAGACUGGCAACAACGGGACAAGGAGCAGAGGCACAGAGACUGAAGGGAACGAGAAGCUCACCUGUGGAUGCUUUGUUGGGCAGAAUGAAUGGAAGGGGAAGUGUGUAGACAAUCCCACAAGCCAUGAGGGAGAGAGACAGCCAGGCUCCUGCUAGGCUGGGAGAAGAGGAACACACUGUGGUUCCCAACAUGUGAAUAAAGCUCCUCGGUGAGGAAGCAGAGUUACUGGAAACCUGCCUGCCCUCACCUUCAGCACAGAAAGGCCCUUGUGGGAAGGCGCACAUGCAUGGCAAUGCAAGAGCCGCUCACUCAAGUUCCCUGUGAGAUGUGGCCGAGGAAGCGAUUUAUUUCCAGCUCCCCUUCAAGAUGAAAUAUGGCUUGCACUACCACGGCCUAGGUUGUAGUUAUUCUGUAAAUAAAGAUUUUCUGUCUUCCACGUGGCCACUUUUGCCCUGAAGUCACUCUUUAAAGUAAGCCUCAGAAACAGAGGCAGGUGAGCACAGCCGAGAGCCCGGACAGCAGGUACCCAUUAGCGCUAAACACUCGGUGUGAGAGAAACUUUCUUCCGUAUUUCACCUUCUAACACGCAGGAGGUUGUGCUGGUGACAGGGCAGCAGAGCUGUCCUGUAUCUCCGAUGCUUUACUUCUGCUCGGUGAAGGCACGGAGGAGGCAGACUUUGCUGCAAAGCCUUUCUGCUCCCUCUGUGCUCGGUGCACGCACUGCGGCCUCGGGAAGCCUCCGCACCACAGUUCCACAAGAACACAGAGUCACCCAGCUCUUUUCUUUCUUUAUUUUUUUAUUGAAAGCUUCAUCAAAGAAAACAGAAGUUUAAACCUAACAUCCACUGAUCUACAGAAAGCCCCAGGAGUGGGAAAAUGGCAGCUAUUAGGAUUGUGGUACAAAUGGAAAACAUCAAAAAAAAAAAAAA
Long non-coding RNA from Anas platyrhynchos (mallard), 2233 nucleotides. RefSeq lists it as uncharacterized. The record is from RefSeq and is a predicted model, not a curated record. Lineage: Eukaryota; Metazoa; Chordata; Aves; Anseriformes; Anatidae.